CCUACGGGAGGCAGCAGUGGGGAAUAUUGGACAAUGGGGGAAACCCUGAUCCAGCGACGCCGCGUGAGUGAAGAAGUAUUUCGGUACGUAAAGCUCUAUCAGCAGGAAAGAAAAUGACGGUACCUGACUAAGAAGCCCCGGCUAACUACGUGCCAGCAGCCGCGGUAAUACGUAGGGGGCAAGCGUUAUCCGGAGUUACUGGGUGGAAAGGGAGCGUAGACGGCAGCGCAAGUCUGGAGUGAAAUGCCGGGGCCCAACCCCGGAACUGCUCUGGAAACUGGGAAGCGGGAGUGCAGGAGAGGUAAGCGGAAUUCCUGGUGUAGCGGUGAAAUGCGUAGAUAUCAGGAGGAACACCGGCGGCGAAGGCGGCUUACUGGACUGUAACUGACGUUGAGGCUCGAAGGCGUGGGGAGCAAACAGGAUUAGAUACCCUUGUAGUC
RNAcentral lists this ribosomal RNA (440 nucleotides) under uncultured bacterium. RNAcentral's name for it is "partial 16S ribosomal RNA". It matches the Rfam family "Bacterial small subunit ribosomal RNA", at positions 338 to 795 of the family's 1533-position model. The record is from RNAcentral.